Molecule: long non-coding RNA, 547 nt
Filed under: Chinchilla lanigera (long-tailed chinchilla)
Lineage: Eukaryota; Metazoa; Chordata; Mammalia; Rodentia; Chinchillidae
Description: lncRNA (ENSCLAG00000027746.1)
Source: RNAcentral
AGUUAUCUUCAGGUUGGAGGGAUGAUCUCCACAUUACACAUGAAGAAACCGAGGCAGAGAGGGCUGGUGCUAUGGCUGAGGAGACGUACGCAGAAGGCUGUUGCAGGGUGAACUCCCUCCUCAAUGCUGAUGGUCUCAAGUCUGUGUCGCUGGAGUCUCAGAGCCGUACCUGUCACCUGGCCUUCUGCACCAGCACCUUCACUGUCUGAACCCUUGGCAGACACAGUGCUUCCUGCCUGACCGAACUCUGCUUGUCUCCACAGCGCCAGUCCCUCCACCCCCUAUGGAUACAAGGCCCUCUGUCCCCAUGUGUGUCUGACUUGAUCCACGGGCAGAAACCUAAACUACUCAGCGGGCUAGGCAGACGCUGUGCCCCCUAACGCGCCUCUGUCAAUGUUAUUUUGCGCUCCUUUACUUCUGAUAAAAGUCAAAAAGUGACCGUUAGGCAUUUUAUUAUUUGCAGAAUGUCUCCAAGCAAUCAUUUGUAUUAAAAGUGUGUAUAUUUCUAACACUCUCAUACUUCCAAAAGUAUGUAUUUUAAAAAAUC